Molecule: ribosomal RNA, 498 nt
Filed under: uncultured bacterium
Lineage: Bacteria
Description: partial 16S ribosomal RNA
Rfam family: Bacterial small subunit ribosomal RNA
Source: RNAcentral
AUUGAACGCUGGCGGCAUGCCUUACACAUGCAAGUCGAACGGUAACAGGCCUUCGGAUGCUGACGAGUGGCGAACGGGUGAGUAAUACAUCGGAACGUGCCUAGUAGUGGGGGAUAACUACUCGAAAGAGUGGCUAAUACCGCAUGAGAUCUACGGAUGAAAGCAGGGGAUCGCAAGACCUUGUGCUACUAGAGCGGCCGAUGGCAGAUUAGGUAGUUGGUGGGAUAAAAGCUUACCAAGCCGACGAUCUGUAGCUGGUCUGAGAGGACGAUCAGCCACACUGGGACUGAGACACGGCCCAGACUCCUACGGGAGACAGCAGUGGGGAAUUUUGGACAAUGGGCGAAAGCCUGAUCCAGCAAUGCCGCGUGCAGGAUGAAGGCCUUCGGGUUGUAAACUGCUUUUGUACGGAACGAAAAGCCCCGGGUUAAUACCCUGGGGUCAUGACGGUACCGUAAGAAUAAGCACCGGCUAACUACGUGCCAGCCGCCGCAGUAA